ACCCGGCUGACAAGUCCCAAAAUGGGACGAAACACGCGUCCUGGUU
RNAcentral lists this non-coding RNA (46 nucleotides) under Schistosoma mattheei. The record is from RNAcentral. Lineage: Eukaryota; Metazoa; Platyhelminthes; Trematoda; Strigeidida; Schistosomatidae.